Molecule: non-coding RNA, 69 nt
Filed under: Parvibaculum sp.
Lineage: Bacteria; Pseudomonadati; Pseudomonadota; Alphaproteobacteria; Hyphomicrobiales; Parvibaculaceae
Source: RNAcentral
AGGCGAAACGGCGCGCAUUAGCGCCGUCGUGUCGGGGCGGUUCCCGGCGCCUGAUGAUGCCAGCCAACA